UGGGGAAUAUUGGACAAUGGGCGAAAGCCUGAUCCAGCCAUGCCGCGUGUGUGAAGAAGGUCUUCGGAUUGUAAAGCACUUUAAGUUGGGGGGAAGGGCAGUAAGCGAAUACCUUGCUGUUUUGACGUUACCGACAGAAUAAGCACCGGCUAACUCUGUGCCAGCAGCCGCGGUAAUACAGAGGGUGCAAGCGUUAAUCGGAAUUACUGGGCGUAAAGCGCGCGUAGGUGGUUCGUUAAGUUGAAUGUGAAAGCCCCGGGCUCAACCUGGGAACUGCAUCCAAAGCUGGCGAGCUAGAGUAGGGCAGAGGGUGGUGGAAUUUCCUGUGUAGCGGUGAAAUGCGUAGAUAUAGGAAGGAACACCAGUGGCGAAGGCGACCACCUGGGCUCAUACUGACACUGAGGUGCGAAAGCGUGGGGAGCAAACAGG
RNAcentral lists this ribosomal RNA (429 nucleotides) under Pseudomonadota bacterium. Its description in RNAcentral is "Proteobacteria bacterium partial 16S ribosomal RNA". It matches the Rfam family "Bacterial small subunit ribosomal RNA", at positions 355 to 776 of the family's 1533-position model. Lineage: Bacteria; Pseudomonadati; Pseudomonadota. The record is from RNAcentral.